UAAUGAAAUUAAUAGGCUUUAAGACUGUGCUGAGUGCUGGGGAUUUGACAGAGAACAGGAUGGACACAGUUCCUGUCAACUUACAUUUUAGAAGGGGAGACAGACUCACAGCUAAUUGCUUAAUUAGAGUAGCUAUCAGCGCUACUGGGAAAACUGAGAGUAUCCUAUGAGAGCAUAUCACAGGAGACAUGACCUAAUGGAGAGAGGAAGGCUCAGAAAUCUUCUCUAAGGAAGAGACAUUUUAUCUGAAAGCCAAAAAUGACUAUGAGUUGCUGGAUAUCCCGAGGGCAGGGAGGAGAACAAGAGAGCAUUCCAGGCAGAAGCAGCAGCUCAUGCACAGGCUUAUGGCAUAAAAGAGCAGAUGUAAUUUUUGCGGAACUGUAAGAAGCUAAGGAAGUGCAAUGAGGAAGAGGGAUGGAUCACAGGUGAUGUGGACACACGGAGGCCUUGGUACACAUUUUGGACUUUAGCCUAAGAUCAUUGGUCCCACUUAACAGCAGGAAACAUGAGGCCGCCCUUCACAUUCUCUCUGUGGGAGAAAUGAGGAGAUGAAUCAUCAUUGUCUAAAAGUCAAUUGUUUGGUUUGUUAUGAAGAUCAUAUGAGACAACUGAUGUGAAAAGCUAUGAAAACUUCGUUAUGGAAAACAGAUACAUAUUAUCUAUAUUAGAUGAGUUUAUGAGUGGUUAGACCUUGGAAUUGUCAAUAUGCUACUCAUCCCCCCCAAUCUGAAUGGUCAACAGUCAAUAUACCUGGUGAAGGAGGAUGGUUCCCUCUCUAGGUGUGAGCAGAGUAUGCUGAGCCUUGUGGUUUUAAAUGAGAUAAAUUGAUACUUCAGUAUCCAACUAGCUGGCACUAGAGAGUCACUCAGGUUGGCAGGAAGUAGAAAGAAGAAAAGUUGAUGGCAUCAUUAAGAGAUGGAAAAACAAGAAUCCUUUGAAGCAGCUCUUAACACUCACAGCACAACUACCAUUUCCAGCACAAUGCAGAUACCAGCCCUGGCCAUUCCGCUUUCAUCAAGGUGCAUGCUGGUUUACUUUAUUGUCACUACAUCUUAUGUCGUUGCUUAUUUAAGACUACAAAAUAUGUGUAUAAAAAUACUGCAAAUGAGAAAAAAAUAGAGAAAAGGGCUUAAUUUUUAUAUGCACUAGAUCAUGGUUCUUCCUUGGAUGGCCCCGGUCUACAGACUAUCGUCACACAAAGUCACAUAGGACUACUGAGUUUCGAAUGUGAAGAUUAGGCUAAGAGUUAGAUGAGACCUCUCUUCUGAAUCCUCUCAGUUGCUUAUUCAUCCACUGGUUCAUCAAACAUUUAUUAUUCAUCAGACAUUUAUUAGUCAUAUGUAUGUAUGCAGAUACAGCAAUAAAUGGGCAAGCCUGAAUCCCUCCUAUUCUUAGCAGGCAGAGGCAUAGACAUAGUGAUAAAAGACCCUCAGUAGUAUGUGGCACUUUAAAAACAGUUGCUAUUUAUUAAGGCCCUGCUAUACAACUAGAACUACACUAGAAAAUAUACAUAUGUCCUCCAGACAUUAUAUACUAGGUUCUUGUUUCUAAUUCUAAUUUCAAGGUGAGGAAAAUGAGAUAUAGGCAGUUGAUUAACUUGCCUGAGGCUAACAGCUGCUAAACAGUGAAUACUGGAUUCAAAUCAAAACCAUUUGACUAUAAAGACCACCAGGCCCUAACAAAUCUUCAUUUGGCACUUAACUGAAUUUUCAUAUCAAACAGCAUUCUUAACAGAAUUAUUAUAUAUGUUAUUUAGUUGUCACAAAAACCCUGUGAGGAAGGAGGGUUGGCUUUCGUUGAGUCAUAGAAUAUGGGUUUGCCCAAAUGGAUUUCAAGGAUAUGGAAUGAGUUCCCCAGGAAAACCAGUGGAGAUCCAUGAGAACUAAUUGUUGAUAUUAGAGAUAAAGAGAGAAAAAAGAAAUGAUCCAGAAGACAAUAAGAUCAAGAGGAAACCUUCCUCCAUCACUACGUUGACACAAAAUGCUUAAUAUGGAAAAUCAGCUAUCAGAGUAUCCCAACUUCAGUGAUCAGACUAAAGCCAUAUUUUGAAUGAACCAUGUUUACCUUAAAAUUUAACCCAAAUUAAAAAGAAAAUUGAGUUGGUUGCUUAGAAACCUCUAGGUGUCUCACUAGAUACUAAAACUUUUGAAAAUUUAGAUCAAAAGGGGAAAAUGUAGGAAACAUAACAUCCAGUGGGGAGUCAUGGAGUCUGCAUGGUAGUUUAUUUGGGUCAAUUCUUCCUGGAUCUCAUUGUUCUCAUCUGUAAAAUGGUGAUGAUUUAUUAAAUAGCCUUUAAUUCUGUGAAUCACAUGAACUGGAGAAUCCUUUGAAUAGGUGAAUCUGUAAUAUAUUCACAAUGAAUAAAGGGUUUUCAUAUCCUCAUUUUUAUUUGAUUUUUAUAACAACCCUGAAAUAAGUCAAACAGACGCAAUUAUUCACAUUUUAUAGAUGAAAAAUCAGUCGUUCUCACAUGUUCACACACCUAAUCAGUGGUGAAGGUGGCACUCAAAUAAUUCAGGUCGUCUUUCUACUCCACUAAGGAUGAGUCCUUUCUAUCAGUAGUUAUUGACUGGCUAACCUGAGCAAGGCAUUAUAUUUUUGGCAUUAUAUAUAUUGUCCUGAGGAACCUACAGUCUAGUAGAGGCAAAUACACAACUAAAUUAGAGUUAAAAUGGCAAGUGUCAUAUGAAAGUGAGAACUUUAUGCUAGGAAAAUCAGGGAAGUUUUGUCAAACGGGUGGUUUGAAUUAGGCAUUGCAAGUAUGGAUAUAUAUUAGCAUGUUGAACAAGCAGAAAGAAACCUUCAAAAUAGAAGGACCAAUGGAGACAAAGUUUUAAAAAAAUGAUCAGGCAUUGCCUUUAUAUGAGUAACAGUCUGGCUGGAGCUAAUGGUGCCAGAAGGAGAAUCAUGACUUCAAGUGAGUUAGAGGAAGUUGUCUAAAGCAUUUGGAUCUACUCCCAUCAGCAUCCCUUUGAAGACGAUUAGGCCAAAAAGCCAGAAAAGCUUGUUGAGAAAUUCUUAGACAAAAUGACUCAAAUGCAACUACCAUUCUCUGAAAUAUAUUAGCUGUUCCCAC
Equus caballus (horse) is the source of this 3076-nucleotide long non-coding RNA. The record is from Ensembl. Lineage: Eukaryota; Metazoa; Chordata; Mammalia; Perissodactyla; Equidae.